GCGUGCCGGUCGGUCGUGUGUGUACCAUUUCAGACUACGCCGCGCGCCGUCGUCGUGCUACAUAUACGAUAUAUGCAACUCUGCAGCAUCUCUGUGUGCUUAUAAUAUAUAUAUAAUAUCAUGUCGGCUGCAGGUCCGUCUGGUGAGGUAUAUAUAUAUAUAUAUAAUAUAGUAUUAUCUCGUCGUCGACCUCCGUGCACAAUAUGGAAAACGACUACCCUGGUUAACGCAUGAUGUGUGUGUGUGUGUGUAUAUAUAUAUAUAUACCGGUGUAUCUACCUACCUAUCUUCUUAUAUUAUUCGAUAACCCUCUCGCCGGCGUGUGUCACGUGCGUGUGCGGACUUUCAGGCACUUUUUCCUCUCGACAAAAGAAUUAAAAAAAAUAAACUCUAACCUAUUAUUAUUAUUUGUUUAGGCGCGUGGGCGUGCAUAACGAAAUCCUGUAGCUAUAAUAAUACGCGUGUGCGCGAGAUCGUACAUUAACACAAACAACGAACGCGUACUAUGUGAUGUGCGUUAGAAAAAGAACACAUCGUACAUGACGUGUACAUCACACCUCCGCUCGGCUGGAUUUGGAUUAUCGCCUUGUCUUGGACGCUGGUAAAACAAUAUCAUAUCAUGUAUAGCGAUGUAGGCAACAUCAAGAGCGGCUUAUGAUUUAUAUUCGCAUGUCGUCGUAUUCAUACACGCCUGGGACCUGAUUAUUCACGAAAGUGGACAAUAUAAUAAUUACAAACACUCGACAAAUUUAUGAUCACUUAAUUAGAUCAAUCAGUACAUUUGGCGAAGAACACGAAUAAAUUUCUAUGUUCCACAAGUCGGUAUCAAGUCCCUUUAAUCAAAAGCGGAAGAUAUAGUAAUAAAAGAUCAAAUAAUGACCGAGAAAUUUUGUUCUGAGGAUCCAUUGAUCGCUACCGAUGCUGAGAUUAAAAAAAUUCAACAAACCGGAAAUACGCACGACGUUGUUGCGCGGGGUACAGGCGUCAGGAAGCUUCAAUACUGACGAUCUAUUAACUAAAAAUCCACGAAUCGUUCGUUAUUAUAUCGUGAAGUGUGCCGCGAAUACCAUAUGCGGCGGAUGAUCUAGCUGUCCACUUCAAUGCAUCGAUAUUGGAUAACAUCGAAACGGUAACCACCUGCUGCAGGAAAUCCAUGACACACGCCGGUGGCUUACGUUUCUCCACCACCAUACACCAAUCGAUUUGAUCUUAUUAUUUAAAAAAAAAUAAAGUGUCUUUCAAUAUGUUCAAUGGUGACGUUGGUACUGAUGUGCAUAAUACUAAAAUGAUUAUUAUUAUUGUAUAUACCGGAUGAUUUAUUCAAUGUAAGAUACUCAUUAUUACUUUAAAUAGUUUUUGAAAAUAUUUAUUAUAUGUAAGUUGUUAAAAAACAACAUUUUUCUAAAAAAAAACUGUAUUUUUAACUAUUUCUUCUAUUUGUUAUAAUUUUAAAGAAAUUAUAAUACUAUACAUUUUUUAUUCCUUAUCCUAAAGCAGAUUAUUUUUUUUUUGAAGUACUUAAAUGCGUAAAAAAACGAAUUUUGUCUGAGUAGUUAACAAGUUAUAAGUAUUUAAAGUUUAGAUGAGCCUGUGGAAUGGAGUGGUACAGGGGUACCCACAAAAUCUUGGUCCACUACUCAGUUCAUCUAAAAUUAUUUAUUUUAAAUUUGAUUUUUAAACAUCGAAGUACUCAUUAGGAAUAUUCUGCUUUGGAAUAAAAAUGUAAAAUAUUUAUUAUAUCAUUCAAAAUUGUAAAAAAACUUUAUAAAAAAUUAUAACGAUAAAAGAUAGUACAU
Molecule: long non-coding RNA, 1796 nt
Organism: Rhopalosiphum padi (bird cherry-oat aphid)
Lineage: Eukaryota; Metazoa; Arthropoda; Insecta; Hemiptera; Aphididae
Exons: 3
Source: RefSeq, a predicted model, not a curated record